UUUAUGGAGAGUUUGAUCCUGGCUCAGAGUGAACGCUGGCGGCGUGCCUAAUACAUGCAAGUCGAACGAUGAAGCAACUAGCUUGCUAGUUGUGGAUUAGUGGCGCACGGGUGAGUAAGGUAUAGUUAAUCUGCCCUACACUGGGGGACAACAUUUAGAAAUGAGUGCUAAUACCCCAUACUCCUGCUUAAUACAAGUUGAGUAGGGAAAGUUUUUCGGUGUAGGAUGAGACUA
This 234-nucleotide ribosomal RNA is filed under the name Campylobacter jejuni. RNAcentral's name for it is "partial 16S ribosomal RNA". It matches the Rfam family "Bacterial small subunit ribosomal RNA", at positions 1 to 233 of the family's 1533-position model. The record is from RNAcentral. Lineage: Bacteria; Pseudomonadati; Campylobacterota; Epsilonproteobacteria; Campylobacterales; Campylobacteraceae.